GGAGGGUGCAAGCGUUGUCCGGAUUUAUUGGGUUUAAAGGGUGCGUAGGCGGCCCGUUAAGUCAGUGGUGAAAGCCUCCAGCUCAACUGGAGAACUGCCAUUGAUACUGACGGGCUUGAGUACAGACGAGGUUGGCGGAAUUGAUUGUGUAGCGGUGAAAUGCAUAGAUACAAUCAAGAACUCCGAUUGCGUAGGGAGCUAACUAGGCUGUAACUGACGCUGAGGCACGAAAGCGUGGGGAGCGAACAGGAUUAGAUACCCUGGUAGUCCACGCUGUAAACGAUGAUUACUCGAUGUCGGCGAUAAACUGUCGGCGUCUUAGCGAAAGCGUUAAGUAAUCCACCUGGGGAGUACGCCCGCAAGGGUG
This 367-nucleotide ribosomal RNA is filed under the name uncultured bacterium. RNAcentral's name for it is "bacterial SSU rRNA". It matches the Rfam family "Bacterial small subunit ribosomal RNA", at positions 527 to 896 of the family's 1533-position model. The record is from RNAcentral.